Pelobates cultripes (western spadefoot toad) is the source of this 221-nucleotide non-coding RNA. The record is from the annotation of a GenBank genome assembly. Lineage: Eukaryota; Metazoa; Chordata; Amphibia; Anura; Pelobatidae.
AAAACAAAAUAAAUACGUAACGUGCAAUCAAAAUACUAUUGCAAUAGAAAUAUCCCUUAGAUCCGACAUAAAAAACCCAUACGUGAAUAUAAAAACAAUAGAAUUGCAAAUCAGUAUAAAGAAAUGUAACAUUGAAGUUCGCUUUAUAUAAAUCACUAUGGUCCAGAGAAAAAAAAAAGGAAAAAAAAGUAUUUUGAAGACUUUCCUCAAGUUUUGUAUCA